Musa acuminata AAA Group (dessert banana) is the source of this 1913-nucleotide long non-coding RNA. RefSeq lists it as uncharacterized. The transcript has 2 exons. The record is from RefSeq and is a predicted model, not a curated record. NCBI's taxonomy places the organism in Eukaryota, Viridiplantae, Streptophyta, Magnoliopsida, Zingiberales, Musaceae.
AUAAAGGACCAUUUGGUCGAUCAAUCAUUAGUGCAGCCUGUAGGCUUGCGAGAAAUUAUCCGCUUUAGGCGAUGGGCAUACUUACACAAUUUUAUCAUUUCAAAACUCAUGAGUUCUAAAAAGAACCUAUGUGGGUAAGGAAGAAUUUGGCCCUCCUUUUAGUGUCAAUCUAAUAAUGAUCAUUUGAUCAAUUGGGCAUAUUUAUACGGUUUUAUCCUUUUGAAGUAUGUGAGUCCCAAAAGGUACCUUUGAGGGUAAAGAAGACUCGACGAACUUAUGAGUCAUUGUUCUCAUAAAAUGAGAUUAUAACAUGUGACUCUCGAAAAAUAUUUGAUCGAAUUAGAUAUAAACCAAAGUUGAUUAAGGAAAACACUAGUUUGAUUAAUUUUGUGAUCAAUCCUCCGUGACCAAGCGGAUAAGCUUAUAGAUUCCUAUAAAAUGAGUAUUUUAUAGACAAAAAAAAAUCUCUAAAAUGAAUUUGAUAUGAACCAAACUCUAAAAUAUGAUUUCACCAAUAAAUUACUUUUUAUUGCAUUUCAAAAUUUUGUUUUCAAAAUUACUUUGUUGGGCUCUUACCAAAUAAUCCUCACUGAAGCAAUAUGUUUUUUUUGAUUCACCAUUGAUGUAGAUGAUGAAGGUAGCCAGCCAAGAGAGCGAGAUUAUUUGGGUCCCCAGGAGUCCAGGUAGAUGAGCUUGGACAUCGACUCCUCGGUGCGCCUGGCUCUCUCCACCGCUUCCUCCCCUCCUCUCCUCCACUGAUCAUUGGAAGAAGAAGACAUCCUCUUGGCCCGAGAGAACGGCGCCAUGCUGCGCUUGGCACGCCCGUGGAGGGACCUGAGCGCGUAGUUCCAUCGACACAGCCCCGCCUGAUCCUUGAGCGCCUCCACCGCCGCCACGCUCGCUGCGACGAUCAUCGAAGCCUUGCUUGCCGAAGCCAUAUGUAUCAGUCUACUACUCAAGAGUUUGAACCUGUGACGAGUUGCAAAUGUCACAGAAGCGGUCGACGGGGAAGGGAAACGCGAGUGUCCAUAUAAAGCCCCCGAGGAAGGGAAAACAGGGGAUGAGAUUGCCGCUGGUUUCGGCUCAUAGUUGUUUCCCAGAUACAAGGGGCGGCUUUUGCUUGUUUACAGAGAAGACUGUGACUGCAUUCGAAUCAGUGAGACGGAUGGUUUGGUAGGAGAAACCGUGUGGCUAAAAUAGAACAAAAGGCAAACGGAUCGGAGACCUGUGGGCGGCACCAGUAAACAGGGAAUCUAACGGUUGAUCAGCCAUCCUUGCUUGGCUUGGCGAUCCUGUCGAGAUGUGAGGAGACGCAGGCUGAACAGAGAAGAAGGAUUUGGUUCAUCUUUGAGCCAAACACAAAGAGACCUCUCUCUAAUUGGGACCCCAACAGCUCAAGUACAUGACUGUUCUCAGCGCCUCCUCCGACUGCAUCCCCUUCUCCGCCGCCGCUUGCCACCCUCUCCUACUCCUGUCGACGGAGGAAGAUGUCCUCUUGGCCUGAGACAACGACCCCAUGCUGCUCUUCGCCCGCUGCUGUAGGGAUCUGACGACGUAGUUCCACCGGCACAGCCCCGCCUGAUCCUUGAGCGCCUCCACCGCGCUCAUGCUCGCUGCCACCACCAAACAAGCCCUGCUUGUACAACCCAUCUCUUCAAUACCUCCCGAGUGAGUGCAAAGAGGAAGUAGCUUGUAGUUAUCUUCUCUCGAUCUGAUGCAGCAGUGGGAAGUUAUCUUCUCCCGAGUGAUUGCUUAUUGGCCUCCACUCGCUGAAGUCGACCCAGCGAAGUAGAUUGGCGGCGUGAGCGAACGCACGUACCUGGGUGAGAUUCUUCUGUCCUAUAUGCAUAAUAUGCGUUUGUAUACGAGGAAAAUAUCGUUUUGAUGGGUUAAAUAAUAAUUCAGUUAACUCA